Numida meleagris (helmeted guineafowl) is the source of this 5863-nucleotide RNA transcript. It is a transcript of the gene named M-phase phosphoprotein 9, with no coding region annotated. The record is from RefSeq and is a predicted model, not a curated record. NCBI's taxonomy places the organism in Eukaryota, Metazoa, Chordata, Aves, Galliformes, Numididae. The transcript has 24 exons.
GCGCGCGCAAAAGGCAUCCAAUCAGCGUGCGGUCUCCCCGCCGCAGCGCCCCUCCCCGCCCCACCGCGUUCGAAAGUGGGCCGCCAAUCGCCAGGGAGGAGGAGGGAGACGCGCUUGUUUAUCGCUGAACGGUCGCUGAGCGAAGCCGCUGCCAGACGCCUCCUGGAGGGCUCCCAGCAAUGCAGGGUAUAAUCGUACUUGGAUCUAAGAUAUGGAAAGUCAUGACUUGGUGAGUGCUGUGCAAGAAGUCUCUUCAUCUUCUGCAGACUCUGAUGACAGAAAUACCUGCAGUUCUGUUUGCAACUUGAAUUGUAACAGGAGCCCCUCAUCCAAUCCCAGCAGAGUUUCUGGUUACUCAGGGAAUAACAGGUCCUCAUUAAGAGCUGGUUCUGUUGAGCUGCUCUCCUCCUACAUGCGGGAUAUCCAGAACAGUGAGAAUGCUGACUCUGAAACUGUGAAGAGCUGUGAGGCAAGGUGGCUACAGCUGUUGAGACUGGUAGAAAAACAAUGCCAGGAACAAAUACUUGCCCAGCAAGAACAGUUCCACCAUCAAAUCCAACUGAUUCAGAAUGAAAUAAGGCAGUUAGCGAAACUGCAGGCCAGCAGCUGGGGCAUUGACAAGAGCAGAAGUUUGCCUGGGAAGUCUCCAGAUGCCUUCUCGUCGCCAGAAAGUCAAAUGGGGAUGCAUUCUGAAGUCUCUGAAGGAAAUGAAUGCGUUGUCAAUCAGCUGAGAUCUCAUGAAAUCGAACUUCAGCCAAAUGCAGCUGAUCCGUACCAGGAAUGUCUUGCACACGAUGCUUCCAUGAAUAGUGGGUACGGUACCCUGUCUGCCUCUGAACUGACUGCUAGUAAAUCUAAUGAUGUUAUCGAGUGCACAGACUGCAUGGAGAACGCUUCCCAAGGACAGGGUGAUGCAGCAGUAUUGCAGAGUAAUGCAGCUGUAGCCAGCAUUCAACAUACAAGAGAAUUUCUGUCAAAAAAAAUAGACAACUGUCCAUCGGGAGGGAAUGACGCUGUAGGUUUUCCUGCUGAAUUUGAACAUAAGGUGAAUGAAGCUCAAUGCAGGAAAAAAAACAGUAAAUCUUUAACAUCGUGGGCACAAAAGUUGAAGCAAAACCAACCCAAAAGAGUAAACUCAGAAGAAGUACAAGUGAACUCUAUGCAAGGAAAUGAGCAAACAAAGAAUCCACCACUUGAGAAUACAGACUCUACCAAUGCUGCUUUGCCACCUUACACUUUUUACCUCAAUCAGCCAACAAAAAGCCCGAAUUCUGCAGCGUCUGAAGCUUCAGGACUUUCAUACUGGAAACUAGAUGUAAAGGAGAUGUAUCACUCUUUACCAGAGAACUUCAGAAGCGAGUUUGCUGAUGUUUUCUCCACUAAACUAUCACCAGAUCAGUUAUCUUCUGCUGAUGAAAUGAAGCCAUCCUCACUGAAGGAUAUUUAUCAUAAAAGACAAAGAGAAAACAACCAGCUGCCAGACACGAAUUUUAUGCCUUCUUCUCAGACAAGUCACCCACCAGAGAUCUUGACAUUGGACCCAACCCUGCAUAUGAAACCAGGUCAACAGAAUCCAGGACAUUGUUUUUUCAAUAUUCCUGAAGAGAGUACUCCUUUUUCUCCAGACUCUAUGGCGGAUCCCGGAUUUUCAAGUCAUUGUGACACAGACUCAUUUUCACAGACAAGCAGUUUGUCUCAGUUUGAUGAUUCUCCAAAAUAUCCUGCCAGCAGCAGAGCUGUGCAUUUGGACUGCUGGAAAAAUCAUCCAAUCCAAAAUGAAAACAAGGCCAGCUCUCCCUUUCCAGUGGCAUAUACUGAUGCUAACAGUGAUAUUUUAGUAAACACUGAGGAGGAAGAAACAUUGACUCUGACUCCAUCCUCUGUGACUCAGUGUGGUGACAAGAGCUUACCAGACCACAGUAUUUCAGUGACAUCUGCUGAAGAUCCUGUGAUAAUGUCAAAGAUUAGGCAGAACUUGAGGGAAAAACACGCUCGACACAUAGCUGAUCUACGAGCUUACUAUGAUGCUGAAAUACAGAGCUUAAAACAGCAGCUGGAGGCAAGCCAUAAAACUGCUGCUUCUGAAGACCUGAAGGAAAUCAAUCGAAAUCUUGCUGACAGGUGUGACCAGUUAGAUGCAGCUCUGAAUGAAGCAAGCGCUCGCAUAAAAACCCUGGAAAAUAAGAAUAGUAUGCUAGAAAAGCAAGUGGCAGAUUGGAGAGAACGCUUUUAUGGAGUCAGUGAUACUUCCAAAGCUUUGCAGGAACAUCUUGAAGAAAUGCGCACAAGUAAUAAGGAGAAGGAUAAUACCAUCAGUAGACUAAAAUCAAGGCUUAAAGAUCUAGAGGAAGCGUUUGAAAAAGCUUAUAAAUUAUCUGAUAAUAAAAAUACAAGGUUAAAAGAGGAAAAUAAAAUGUUUCAAAAUCUUUUAGGAGAAUAUGAUUCCCUUGGAAAAGAACAUGAAAGGGUAAAGGAUACCUUAAAUGCAACUGAAAUCAAACUGCUUGAUGCAAACACCCAGAUCUCCGAUUUGAAAAGGACAAUUUCAAAACUUGAAGCUCAGCUCAAGCAGGUAGAGCAUGAAAAUAUGUUGAAACUUCGCCAUAUUACUGAAAGCCGUCUACGAGCCUCUUGUGCCAACAAGUUGGCUGCUCCUGAUGUCAGCAGGAGAAAGUGGCUGAUACCGGGAGCAGAGUACUCAAUCUUCACUGGCCAGCCUUUGGAAGUCCAAGAAAGCCCCAAGGAUAACAGGCUCGAAGAAGCCUAUAUUCCUUCCAGGUACCAUUCUCCUCCUGAAAAAGACUCCUCACAAGAAGACUCUUCAACAAACACAUUUGAAAAGAAGGACAAUGAGAUGUCAGAAGCACCAAUUAUAAAAGCCUUUAAAGAACUUGAAGAAAUAAAAGCUUUUAAGGAUUGGGGUACACAGACAGAAAAAGAAGAGACAUCAACUAAAACGUCGAGUCGACGUCAAACCGUUGGGUUUGUUGAAACUUCCGUGGUUUCCAACCGAUCCCCAGAGAAAGGCAGAGACCAGCAGAGACCCAAGCGAUACAGCUCCCCGUGUGGCCAGAGGUCUUCGUCUCUUCCUCCAUCAAACAGGAGAUCGAAUACUCCAACAAGACGAGAGAUCAUGUUGGCGCCAGUGUCUGUGACAUACAGCCCGAAACGAUCUCCAAAAGAAAAUCUCUCUCCUGGAUUUAGCCAUUUACUUAGCAAGAAUGAAAACACAGUGACAAGAUUUGAUAUACUUCUAGAUGACCUGGAAACUGGUCCCCCAUCUACUUUACAGCACAGUAAUCCAAGAAAAAGGCUCCAGUUUCUUUCACUCGAUGAUACAGAAGGAAGGCAGCGUUCAGGCGUCAGACACAGCUCUUGUGCUGGAUCUGUCAGUACUGGAAUGAAGAAAACAACAGCUCGGGACGAGAGGAGCGUAGCACAGAACUGUGAGCCAGUGCUAACACCUUGUGAGGGAGACUUCCCGUACACAGCGAGGAUUCAGACUCUGGCUGAAACAGAGAAGCUCUUCGAUGAGCUGACUCAAGAAAAGCAACAGGCAAAAAUGAUAUUAAUUUUAAAGUUAUUGAGGCUGCUUUGAGUCGAAUACCUUGUUCUGGUGGAAGAAUGACCUUGCAAGCAAGAUUAAAUCAGGAAGCCCUGGAGGAUCGCUUGGAAAGGAUUAACAGAGAUCUGGGAUCGAUACGCAUGACCCUGAAAAGAUUCCAUGUUUUACGUACCUCUGCAAAUCUUUGACAAUUCUCUCUUCAAUUCAAAUAUGCUUUUUUUUUUUUUGCACUAAUAUAUAAUUAUGCACUCGGUAAAUGCAAAUGUUUUGUAUUUUUAUAAGCCCUCAAUAGUAGUUUUACAACCACGUUACCCUUUACACACAGCAAUAUUUUGUACUUCAAACAGCCACCUCUAUUUGAAACGUAUUUUUGUUACACUUGAGAACGUAAUGUUUAUCCUGUAUUGUAAUAUUUUUAGAAAUGGUAAUUAUUUUUAAAUAGCGAUAUUCAAUUUAUAAUAAGAAACUAAAAGGCAGCUUGUUUUCCAAAAGUGAUGGUGUUUUGCACUUGUUUUCCUCACCGUUUUAUAGAUAUGUACGGCAUGUUGUAAAUACUGGCUAAUAGGAAGUCUUGAACUUCAAUACAAAAGGCAACAUGAAUUACCAGUGUCAGACAACUACCAUUACGUAGUAAAUCCUUUUCAUUGGCACCUCGUGGGUAUUUGUCUUGGUGACAAAACCACAAGCAGUAGUAGUGCUUCGAUGCCACGAGAGCCAGGAUUCCUGCAGCUGACAGCAGCCAGCUCUUCUCCCAGCCAGCUACUCGACUGCAGCGGGCCCUGCAGGACGGCACCUCGCUGCCUGGAGCUGCUGCUGGAAGGUCAGGGUGGGUUUGUGCCAGUGUUCAGAGCGCGGCGAUGAGCGCACGCUUCCCCGUGAGAUCCGAGCUGUCCUUGUGAACAGACAUGCAUUCUUCUUGGUGGGGAAAAAAAACAAAACUCUGCAUUUGCUCGCUGGCAGAUCGUUGGAAUUACUGUUCAACAUUGAUCUUUUAGUUUGUAUUUUCAUAUUAAAUAAAUGUUUAAUUAGAUUCUUUCUCCCAGCCCAAGAACAAUAAUAGGAUCUGGGAUGUUACAUCAGCAAUAAGGUUUUAAUCAUAUUGUGUGUUUCAAGUUCUGUCCUUGUUCAAGAUGUUGAGCCACUAAUGAUGUGAUUAUUUUGCAGUGGGAAGGCCAGAAUAGCUGUUGUGAAGGAAGCUCGUGAAGGUCUGAUUCUAAUUUUAGAGUGCUGUUUUUUAAAGAUAUUUAAUGAAGAACUGUCCUACAUCAACGCACAGUACUUUUUUCUUAGAAAAAGCUUUAUUUAUUUAUUUAUCAAGUGCUUUGUGCAUCUCCUCCUGCCCUGCGGGUUGUUUUGAUACAAGAUCAGAGAAGUCAAGGCUCCAAGUUACUCAUUUUUCCUUCUGCUCUGCGAUGUUGAAAUUGGGCCUGAAUGCUUGGCAGUAACUUGAAUAUACUUCCAGGCUCUGCUAGCAGAUGCUUAAUUCUGAUGGUAUUUCAUAUUCUUCCCUGAGAGGAGGGAGGAAGAAAAAAAAAAAUCUCUACUUCCCCAUGCAACUCUACUAUUUAGCUGAAGAAGUUUCUUUCCACCACUUUCAAUUACGAACAGGCACAGUGUACAAGUACCAUUCUCAAGCCUCACUGAGCCGGCAGGAUUUCUUGCAAGGAAUCCAUCACCACAAAACUUAACAUGGGUCCAUUGAAUGGGCUUGUUUUCUUUCUUGUGCUGCUGCAAAAACAGGCACAAUGCUCCUGACAGGCAUUAUAAACGAGCAGGUAAAUCAGUUCAGCUCUAUCCCAGCCUUUCCUUCUAACCUCCCUUUAUUUCCAUGCCAUUCUCUCCAGCGCUAUUCAUAUUCAUGUACUCUUUUUUUAUUACCUCCAGAAAACUGAAGCGUGAGUCAGAAUUUAUUUUUUAAUCAAAAGCCCUCCUCCAUCUGUUGGAGCUCUUCAGGCUAUUUCUGUUCUAUCCUAACACGGAACGGGGGGGGGGGGGGAUUCAAAGCGCUGCUCUUAGUAAACUUUUAGGCCAACGUCUUAGAAGUGGCUGGCAGGUGUGGGCUGACCCGUGUCAGUCGGAGCCUUCGGCCUCAUCCCUCCGCGGGGCAGCGGAGCUGCAGUUCCAGAGGAGAGCAGUGGGAGGCCUGAACGCUCAGCGCUUCUGAAAAAUCAGCCCUGAAGCAUCAAAAAAACGAAAAGUGGGGCACGUCUGGAAAACGCGCCUCAACUGGCCGUGCGCUCUGCUGGACAAUGGCUUAUUAAUUUUUUUAAUAAACCCCUUUAAAAUUCUUUGCCUUCA